This 72-nucleotide transfer RNA is filed under the name Marmota monax (woodchuck). It matches the Rfam family "tRNA". Rfam says of the family: Transfer RNA (tRNA) molecules are approximately 80 nucleotides in length. Their secondary structure includes four short double-helical elements and three loops (D, anti-codon, and T loops). Lineage: Eukaryota; Metazoa; Chordata; Mammalia; Rodentia; Sciuridae. The record is from Rfam by way of RNAcentral.
GGUAGUAUAGCUCAAUGAUAGAGUUUUGGCCUAGCAUGCACAAAUCCUUGGGUUCAAUUCCCAGUACUGUAG